GGUGCUGUGGCGGAGUGGUUAACGCGAUUGACUAGAAAUCAAUUUCCUUCGGGAGCACAUGUUCGAAUCAUGUCAGCAUCG
Molecule: transfer RNA, 81 nt
Filed under: Trichosporon asahii var. asahii CBS 8904
Lineage: Eukaryota; Fungi; Basidiomycota; Tremellomycetes; Trichosporonales; Trichosporonaceae
Description: tRNA-Ser (AGA) (tRNA-Ser-AGA-11-1, tRNA-Ser-AGA-3-1)
Rfam family: tRNA
About the family: Transfer RNA (tRNA) molecules are approximately 80 nucleotides in length. Their secondary structure includes four short double-helical elements and three loops (D, anti-codon, and T loops).
Source: RNAcentral